CAGCCCGGGGGAGCUGUCCCCACUCCACAGCACUUGCACUCACAGCCUGCCCUCUCCAUCCUCCCCAGCAAACCAAGGCCUUCUUCCCAGCAUGCAGCCCCUCCCAACCCUGCCUGGGUCACUCUGGUGGAGUACCACGGCCUGGGAACAACUCCUGAGCUGUUUUUUUCUGAUGGGCUCCUCAGGGUGAGGGGUGGGACUGGCAGCUGCCUGCCCCAGGGCUGGGUGUGCCAUGUAGCACAGGGACAGACACCCUGAGCUGCCUCAGACCUGUCCCUCUGCACCAUGCAGACCCGAUCCAGAACUGCAGAUCCUAAAGAAACAUGAGGAAUGGAUGUCUGAUCUAAUUAAAUAUCUGCCAGGCUCAGCAGCUUUUUCUCACACGGUUGGUGCUGCAAAAGCCAACCUUAGCAGGAGGAAGAGUCACUUCCAGAUCAGCUCAAAUUUGCUCCCUCUGCCUGCACUGCAAGCAACAGACUUUGCUGAACACGAGGGAAAUGGAAAGGAUGGUUCUGUAAUGGUUUUGGGGUGGAAAAGGCCAAGAUCCAUGUUUUGGGGAUUUCCCAGUGAGAUUCUCCAGGGAAAUGCCCUUUAACCCCCAUUCAGUGCAGAAGAACAUCUGGGCAGGCUGUGUCUGUGGGGCCUCUCUGGAGCAUGUGGAGAUAGCUUGGGGUCUGGUCCUAAAGACCCCAAAAUACCAGGAUGGUUGUGCUGGAGGGUUCUGGAGAUCCUGAGGGGGCCAAGCUGGAGGUGAAAAACUUCCAGUGCUCAAGGCAAAGGUUUCAGGGGUGAGAAAAAGGCCACAGGAACUCCCCAUGGGGCCAACCACAGACAGCCCCACGCUGUCUCCUGACUCCUUCCUGGCUCCCAAACCUUCUGAACCCUCCUGGGCUCUUCCCAGAGCAUUCCUGCAGGUACAGCCCGUGCUGGGAAUGCUGCUUCCCUCUGGCUGGCUGCUGGCACCUGAGCAGGGUCAGCAGUGCACUCAGACAGGCUACAGGAAUACUCAGCUUUGGGAACAGCAGGAAGGGCUUUGGGUGCUUGCUCAGACUGAGCCUGACCUCAAAAAACACCAGAGGGAACCCAAACUUCACCUGGAGCCCUCUGACCCCUGGUUUGCAGCCAAGCAAGUCCCUGCAUUGUGCCUUGGCUCCUAAAUCAUCCUUCAGACAGUUGGCCCUUGGGAAAAGAGGGGUGCUUGGACAUGGGGUGUCCAGCUGAGACCUCCUGGGCUGCAAUUCCCAGUCCAGGGGCUGCAUCAAGGGACUGGUUUAAGGGUUUUUCCAAAACUUGGCCUGACCGGCAUCACCAGUAACACUCUGAGCACUUGUCCACUUUGCAACCUCAGUUUUAUUUUAUUUUAUUUUAUUUUAUUUUAUUUUAUUUUAUUUUAUUUUAUUUUAUGACAGCUGUGAAUACUGUCUGUACCUAAGACAUGCCCGUGGUAAUGUAGACCAUUUCUUAUGGCAUUAAUAACCAUAAUUAUAUCCCAUCCCAUAAGGAUGGGAUUUUUCAAAAGCAAUCAGGAAGUCAAUAAGAGUCCGUAAGAAGUGGGUGCCUCAUUUCCUCGAGGUGCUUUUGCAAAUCCUACCCUAAAACAUUGAUAUUUCAUGUGGGCACAUCUAAGUCUGUGUGGGAGAAGCCUCAAAUCCUUUUUGAAAAGUGCUAUGCAUACUGUAAUUGGAACAGAUUAAUAUGAAUCUCUGUGGCUGCUUAACCUUUUAUUCUCCUUAUUUCAAAACUCACUGAGUAUUUCAGUCACAAGCAACUGUAUCCUGCAGUUAAUGAGGGGCCAGAUCCAGCCGUGUCACUGCCCUGACUGCAGCAGAACAAUCCUCAUCCACCCCAGCCGGGGAUCAGGGGCUAAGAAGCAACCAGAGUCAUGUUAUCAAGCUGCAAAUAUAUGCAGAGAAGUGUGUUCUUCUAGACCUCCCAAACACUCUGAGCCAGACCACAGCCUCCUGACCAGGCUCCUGCUGCCACCAGCCCCAGGUUAAAGCCACCAGGACUCUGGGGACAGAUAGGUCCAGUGGAACACCAUCCAUGGAUUCCAUUCCUCUGCAGCACAGCACAGCCCUGGAUCAGAAACUGCUGGAGCAAAAGCCGACAGCACCUACUGAGAAGAAAAAAAAAGAGUUAAAAAGCAUGUCCUGGACUGUGCAGGGCCAGAGACUGAAUGUGUCCUCUCCAUGCAAGCACCAUGAGAGGCAGCAGAGAGUCAGGUGUGACCUAAGUCUCAGCAAUCUUGCAGGAAAAAAUGAGACUGAUCCUUCCUCUGCUUUUGGAUCAGGCUGAGCUCUGGGUUGUGAUUUACUCCAGCAUGAGGGAGAACAGAGCUGGGCCAAGAGCUUCAUGUCUCCUCCUGGUUUUGCCUCUCUAUCUCCUCCUGGUUUUGUCAUUCUUUGAAAUAUUUGGGGGCUGUGAGAACAGCUCCCAUUAAGUGUAUCACUGGCUUUUCCUCUUGGUAUUUAUGAUUUAAUAAUUCCUCAAUCUGUCACAAUCAGUAUUGAAAGAGCGUGGCUGG
This is a long non-coding RNA of Passer domesticus (house sparrow), 2524 nucleotides long. RefSeq lists it as uncharacterized. The record is from RefSeq and is a predicted model, not a curated record. NCBI's taxonomy places the organism in Eukaryota, Metazoa, Chordata, Aves, Passeriformes, Passeridae. The transcript has 3 exons.